This is a non-coding RNA of Eimeria mitis, 465 nucleotides long. The record is from Rfam. NCBI's taxonomy places the organism in Eukaryota, Apicomplexa, Conoidasida, Eucoccidiorida, Eimeriidae.
UGUACGAACACACAAAGGUAUGCAGCGUGUUACUGAGGCAGUUUUCCUGCUGUUGCAAUGUACGGGUCUGGUGUGCAUGCUUGGGCUGCUCGAAUCCGGCGGUCUCCUAGAGAACAAAGGAGGUGUACACAGGUCUUUCCUAAAUAAAAAAGUAAGAAAACAAAAGCUAUUAGGGGAAAAGGCCUGUUCGCAGGAGCUACUCCACGAACGAGAACGAAAGUCUGUCUUUAUUAUCCGACAGUCCGCCGUGAACGGGCUAUCGCUAAACGAAUAGAAGUUACUUUAGGGACGACAGGCUGAUCUCAUCCUAAAAUUCUUGUUGACUGGGAAGGAUGGCAUAUCGGUAUCGGCUCUUCAUACCCUGAAGCUGACGUAGGUCAAGCUUUGAUCGGUUCGCCCGCGAACGGACCAAGCAGACCCAGCACGUGAGCUGCCUUCAGAACGUCGCGAGACAGCUCUGUCCAU